AACAUGUGUGUAACAUGUGUGUGUGUGUAGGCGAGCGUGCCGUUUGCGGUGGUGGGCAGUAACACGGUGGUGGACGCCCUGGGGAAGAGAGUGAGGGGACGACUCUACCCCUGGGGCAUCGUGGAAGUGGAGAACUCGGUGCACUUGCGACUUCACGCGACUGCGCUCCAUGCUGGUGCAGACUCACAUGCAGGACCUGAAGGACGUGACACAGGAUACUCACUACGAGAACUUUAGAGCCAGACACAUCCACAGCAUGGCUCACCUGGCUCUGCAGUCACACCACAGGGAGGGAGACGCAGCGGCCGUGGCGACCGACACAGAGAAGCUCAUCAGGGAGAAAGACGAGGAGGUGA
This is a long non-coding RNA of Lethenteron reissneri (Far Eastern brook lamprey), 356 nucleotides long. RefSeq lists it as uncharacterized. NCBI's taxonomy places the organism in Eukaryota, Metazoa, Chordata, Hyperoartia, Petromyzontiformes, Petromyzontidae. The record is from RefSeq and is a predicted model, not a curated record.